Molecule: ribosomal RNA, 491 nt
Filed under: uncultured bacterium
Lineage: Bacteria
Description: partial 16S ribosomal RNA
Rfam family: Bacterial small subunit ribosomal RNA
Source: RNAcentral
AGUGAACGCUGGCGGUAGGCCUAACACAUGCAAGUCGAACGGCAGCACAGUAAGAGCUUGCUCUUACGGGUGGCGAGUGGCGGACGGGUGGGGAAUACAUCGGAAUCUACUUUUUCGUGGGGGAUAACGUAGGGAAACUUACGCUAAUACCGCAUACGACCUACGGGUGAAAGCAGGGGAUCUUCGGACCUUGCGCGAUUGAAUGAGCCGAUGUCGGAUUAGCUAGUUGGCGGGGUAAAGGCCCACCAAGGCGACGAUCCGUAGCUGGUCUGGGAGGAUGACAGGCACGACUGGAACUGAGCAACGGUCCAGACCCGAAUGGUAGGCGGCGGUGGGGAAUAUUGUAUAGUGGGCUCAGCCGUAACCCGACCAAACGGCGUGGUGGAAGAGGUCCUUCGGGUUGGAAAGCCCUUUUGUUGGGAAAGAAAGGCAGCAGGUUAAUACCCCGCGUUUCUGAGGUAACCAAAGAAUAAGCGCCGGCUAACUUCGUG